Molecule: ribosomal RNA, 768 nt
Filed under: Ilyoplax tansuiensis
Lineage: Eukaryota; Metazoa; Arthropoda; Malacostraca; Decapoda; Dotillidae
Description: partial 16S ribosomal RNA
Source: RNAcentral
UGUAUUUAUUCUUGUUUAUCUCAGUUUAAAGAGUUUAAUUUGAAAAAUAAUUUAUUAUUUAAGUAAUUUUUAGUAAAAUAAUAAAAUAACUAUAGUUCAUUAGUACAGUGAUGGAAAUGUAAAUUAAUACAAGUAAAGAAUUUUUAUAUUACUAUACCUUGUGUAUUAGGGAAACUCUAUAUAAAUUAAUGAUUUUAAAUGUCUCGAAAUAAAAACAGCUAAAUUUAUACUAUUGUGCUUGUCGAAUAAAGCUUUCAAAUAUAAAUUUAAAGGUGAAAUGUUAUUAGAGUUUUAUUAUAUCUGGUUUUUUUAGAAUAAAAUUUAAUUUUGAUUUUAAAUAUAAUAGAUUUAAAUUUUAACUGUAGGAGGGAGUAGCUUCUUACAGAUCCUUUUUAAUAGUUACAUAAAAAUAAAUUUUUUGAGACUAGGCUUAAAAGUAGCCAUGUUAAAAAAGUGUUAUUACUUAUUAAUAAUAAAUUUUUAUUUAAGAUAACUUUAAACAAGUACAAAACUUUUUUGUAAAAUAAAAUUAUAAAAGUGAUAAUGAAUUUAUUAGUAUAAUUAAUGUAAGCUAACUAAAAUAUAAUAACUAAGACGUUAAAAUAUUUAGUGUAAAAUAUAAAGGAACUCGGCAAAUAAUUUUCUUGCCUGUUUAUCAAAAACAUGUCUAUUUGAAGAUAUAAAAAGUCUAAUCUGCCCACUGAAAUUAAUAUUAAAGGGCCGCAGUAUAUUGACUGUGCAAAGGUAGCAUAAUCGUUUGGUUUUUAA